This 270-nucleotide ribosomal RNA is filed under the name uncultured bacterium. Its description in RNAcentral is "partial 16S ribosomal RNA". It matches the Rfam family "Bacterial small subunit ribosomal RNA", at positions 524 to 794 of the family's 1533-position model. The record is from RNAcentral.
GACGGAGGAGGCUAGCGUUGUUCGGAAUUACUGGGCGUAAAGGGCGCGUAGGCGGCCUGUUAAGUCGGACGUGAAAGCCCAGGGCUCAACCCUGGAGUUGCGUUCGGGACUGACGGGCUUGAGGAUGGAAGAGGAUGGUGGAAUUCCCAGUGUAGAGGUGAAAUUCGUAGAUAUUGGGAAGAACACCGGUGGCGAAGGCGGCCAUCUGGUCCAUACCUGACGCUGAGGCGCGAAAGCGUGGGGGGCAAACAGGAUUAGAAACCCCGUAGU